GACGAACGCUGGCGGCGUGCCUAAUACAUGCAAGUUGAGCGCUGAAGGUUGGUACUUGUACCAACUGGAUGAGCAGCGAACGGGUGAGUAACGCGUGGGGAAUCUGCCUUUGAGCGGGGGACAACAUUUGGAAACGAAUGCUAAUACCGCAUAAAAACUUUAAACACAAGUUUUAAGUUUGAAAGAUGCAAUUGCAUCACUCAAAGAUGAUCCCGCGUUGUAUUAGCUAGUUGGUGAGGUAAAGGCUCACCAAGGCGAUGAUACAUAGCCGACCUGAGAGGGUGAUCGGCCACAUUGGGACUGAGACACGGCCCAAACUCCUACGGGAGGCAGCAGUAGGGAACCUUCGGCAAUGGACGAAAGUCUGACCGAGCAACGCCGCGUGAGUGAAGAAGGGUUUCGGAUCGUAAAACUCUGUUGGUAGAGAAGAACGUUGGUGAGAGUGGAAAGCUCAUCAAGUGACGGUAACUACCCAGAAAGGGACGGCUAACUACGUG
Molecule: ribosomal RNA, 497 nt
Filed under: uncultured bacterium
Lineage: Bacteria
Description: partial 16S ribosomal RNA
Rfam family: Bacterial small subunit ribosomal RNA
Source: RNAcentral